ACACAAAAGGAGAGGGAGAGUAGGAGCGAGCAAGACCGGGAUGGAAAGAAACAUAAACAAAUCAGGCUCAAAAUGAGGCCGCUUUGCAGGGCGAUCAGCCUGUCUGUAUGGCCCUGUCUCCACAUGACCACCUUCAGGUACAGGCACCUUUAUUUUGGCGGUCGUGGGCUGAAAUGAUUGAGAACCACUGGGCUAAGCUAAGGUAAUAUGGCAGCCUUCAUUUUAUGGCUAUAGUGACACAGAUACCUGAG
This 251-nucleotide long non-coding RNA is filed under the name Gouania willdenowi (blunt-snouted clingfish). Its description in RNAcentral is "lncRNA (ENSGWIG00000020389.1)". The record is from RNAcentral. Lineage: Eukaryota; Metazoa; Chordata; Actinopteri; Blenniiformes; Gobiesocidae.